This 250-nucleotide long non-coding RNA is filed under the name Mytilus galloprovincialis (Mediterranean mussel). The record is from RNAcentral. Lineage: Eukaryota; Metazoa; Mollusca; Bivalvia; Mytilida; Mytilidae.
AAAAACACUAUUUAAAUAUCACCUGAGUUUGAUCAAUAAUUAUCGACUCGAUAAGUUCUUAUCUGCACAUGCAGCUCCUGUACCCGUACACAGCAAAACAUGUGUUUCAUCCUCAUUGUUUUCAACACUUUAAAUAACCAAGUUUAUAAAGUUAUGUGAUUGACACCUUGAAAUAGGUCCUCCACAACUCAUAACAGCAGCAAGAUGGCAGAUUAUCAGCAUGAGAGAGGCAGGAAUGUCGCUGUGACAA